This 517-nucleotide ribosomal RNA is filed under the name uncultured bacterium. Its description in RNAcentral is "bacterial SSU rRNA". It matches the Rfam family "Bacterial small subunit ribosomal RNA", at positions 992 to 1509 of the family's 1533-position model. The record is from RNAcentral.
AGAACUUAGCAGAGAUGCUUUGGUGCCUUCGGGAACUCUGAGACAGGUGCUGCAUGGCUGUCGUCAGCUCGUGUUGUGAAAUGUUGGGUUAAGUCCCGCAACGAGCGCAACCCUUAUCCUUUGUUGCCAGCGGUUAGGCCGGGAACUCAAAGGAGACUGCCAGUGAUAAACUGGAAGAAGGUGGGGAUGACGUCAAGUCAUCAUGGCCCUUACGAGUAGGGCUACACACGUGCUACAAUGGCGCAUACAAAGAGAAGCGACCUCGCGAGAGCAAGCGGACCUCAUAAAGUGCGUCGUAGUCCGGAUUGGAGUCUGCAACUCGACUCCAUGAAGUCGGAAUCGCUAGUAAUCGUGGAUCAGAAUGCCACGGUGAAUACGUUCCCGGGCCUUGUACACACCGCCCGUCACACCAUGGGAGUGGGUUGCAAAAGAAGUAGGUAGCUUAACCUUCGGGAGGGCGCUUACCACUUUGUGAUUCAUGACUGGGGUGAAGUCGUAACAAGGUAGGCGUAGUGCU